This 744-nucleotide long non-coding RNA is filed under the name Homo sapiens (human). Its description in RNAcentral is "HSALNT0377745". The record is from RNAcentral. Lineage: Eukaryota; Metazoa; Chordata; Mammalia; Primates; Hominidae.
CUCUGAUCUGCUGAACCAGUUGCAGGUUUCUCAGGGCAUACACUCCAGAAAAGGUGACUCUGCCACUUCAAUUUCAGUGAUAAAGGAACCUGAGCCAUGUAGUGUCCUGGGAAGAACAGGACUUUGUGGUCAGAGUCUCAUGAGGUCAAAUCUCUGCUCCAUGGCUCUGGGAAACUUGUUUGAUCAUUCUGAGGUGGGGAAAUUGAGGCGCAGAGGGACUAGGAAACCUGCCCAAGGUCGCACAGUGAGUGCCUGGAGGUGUCAGGCAGGGGAGGAGGAGGCCAGUGAUGACCUUUCCCCUCGUGCCAGCCCUCAGAAGAGGUGGAAGUGCCUGCCGUAUGCCUUUGAUUUAUAGUGGAGCAGGGGUUUAGAUCCAGCUGUCAACUUGGGAAGCCACGUGAGGAUUCUAUUUUUAAAAAUGGCCUUGUAAUUAUAAUAGUGGGGUAAAAACCACCACCACCACCCAAGCAAACAGGAAAACAACCUGAAUGUCCAACAGUGGGGGAACCAGUUAAAUCAAUUAUGGUACAAACCCAUGAUGGCAUAUUUGGCAGUUAAGAAUCUCACAUUUUCAGAGACUCUUAGCAUGGGAUAAUGCCUCCAGAUAUAACUAAAAGCAGGAUAUAAAACUGCAUAACAACCUGAUCCCAAUCGAAAGGUAAUUUUGUAUAUGACUUCUUAUACAGAGAAAACGACUAGAAGAAAAUAGAAAGUUGAUGGUGGUUAUCUCCAGCAAAAUUAAAG